Molecule: ribosomal RNA, 292 nt
Filed under: uncultured bacterium
Lineage: Bacteria
Description: partial 16S ribosomal RNA
Rfam family: Bacterial small subunit ribosomal RNA
Source: RNAcentral
GUGCCAGCCGCCGCGGUAAUACGUAGGGUGCGAGCGUUGUCCGGAAUUAUUGGGCGUAAAGAGCUCGUAGGCGGCUUGUUGCGUCUGCCGUGAAAAUUCGCAGCUUAACUGUGGACGUGCGGUGGAUACGGGCAGGCUUGAGUUCGGUAGGGGAGACUGGAAUUCCUGGUGUAGCGGUGAAAUGCGCAGAUAUCAGGAGGAACACCGGUGGCGAAGGCGGGUCUCUGGGCCGAUACUGACGCUGAGGAGCGAAAGCGUGGGGAGCGAACAGGAUUAGAUACCCUUGUAGUCC